CCUACGGGAGGCAGCAGUGAGGAAUAUUGGUCAAUGGCCGUAAGGCUGAACCAGCCAAGUCGCGUGAAGGAAGAAGGAUCUAUGGUUUGUAAACUUCUUUUAUAGGGGAAUAAAGGUAUCCACGUGUGGAUAUUUGCAUGUACCCUAUGAAUAAACAUCGGCUAACUCCGUGCCAGCAGCCGCGGUAAUACGGAGGAUGCGAGCGUUCUCCGGAUUUAUUGGGUUUAAAGGGUGCGUAGGUUGUUUUUUAAGUCAGAUGUGAAAGGUUGUGGAUCAACCGUAAAAGUGCCGUUGAAACUGGAAGACUUGAGUGGGUGUGAGGGAGGCGGAAUGCGAGGUGUAGCGGUGAAAUGCAUAGAUAUCACGCAGAACACCGAUUGCGAAGGCAGCUUACUAAGCCAUAACUGACACUGAAGCACGAAAGCGUGGGGAGCAAACAGGAUUAGAUACCCCAGUAGUC
Molecule: ribosomal RNA, 460 nt
Filed under: uncultured bacterium
Lineage: Bacteria
Description: partial 16S ribosomal RNA
Rfam family: Bacterial small subunit ribosomal RNA
Source: RNAcentral